RNAcentral lists this ribosomal RNA (253 nucleotides) under uncultured bacterium. RNAcentral's name for it is "partial 16S ribosomal RNA". It matches the Rfam family "Bacterial small subunit ribosomal RNA", at positions 524 to 776 of the family's 1533-position model. The record is from RNAcentral.
UACGUAGGGUGCGAGCGUUAAUCGGAAUUACUGGGCGUAAAGCGUGCGCAGGCGGUUCGCUGUGUCCGAUGUGAAAGCCCCGGGCUUAACCUGGGAAUGGCAUUGGAAACUGGCGGGCUUGAGUGUGGCAGAGGGGGGUGGAAUUCCGCGUGUAGCAGUGAAAUGCGUAGAGAUGCGGAGGAACACCGGUGGCGAAGGCGGCCACCUGGCUCGGUACUGACGCUGAGGCGCGACAGCGUGGGGAGCAAACAGG